AUUGAACGCUGGCGGAAUGCUUUACACAUGCAAGUCGAACGGCAGCACGGACUUCGGUCUGGUGGCGAGUGGCGAACGGGUGAGUAAUGUAUCGGAACGUGCCCAGUCGUGGGGGAUAACGUAGUGAAAAUUACGCUAAUACCGCAUACGAUCUAUGGAUGAAAGCGGGGGAUCGCAAGACCUCGCGCGAUUGGAGCGGCCGAUAACAGAUUAGGUAGUUGAUGGGGUAAAGGCCCACCAAGCCAACGAUCUGUAGCUGGUCUGAGAGGACGACCGACCACACUGGACCUGAGACACGGUCCAGACUCCUACGGGAGGCAGCAGUGGGGAAUUUUGGACAAUGGGCGAAAGCCUGAUCCAGCCAUUCCGCGGGCAGGAUGAAGGCCCUCGGGUUGUAAACUGCUUUUGUACAGAACGAAAAGGUUUCUACUAAUACUAGGAGCUCAUGACGGUACUGUAAGAAUAAGCACCGGCUAACUACGUGCCAGCCGCCGCCGUAA
This 500-nucleotide ribosomal RNA is filed under the name uncultured bacterium. RNAcentral's name for it is "partial 16S ribosomal RNA". It matches the Rfam family "Bacterial small subunit ribosomal RNA", at positions 30 to 523 of the family's 1533-position model. The record is from RNAcentral.